UACGUAGGGAGCGAGCGUUAUCCGGAUUUAUUGGGUGUAAAGGGUGCGUAGGCUGAUUGGUUAGUCUAAAAUUUAAUGCAGAAGCUUAACUUCUGUCCGUUUUAGAAACUGCCUUUCUAGAGUAUGGUAGAGGCAAGUGGAAUUUCUAGUGUAGCGGUAGAAUGCGUAGAUAUUAGAAGGAACACCAGUGGCGAAGGCGACUUGCUGGGCCAUCACUGACGCUGAGGCACGAAAGCGUGGGGAGC
This 245-nucleotide ribosomal RNA is filed under the name uncultured Bacillota bacterium. Its description in RNAcentral is "uncultured Firmicutes bacterium partial 16S ribosomal RNA". It matches the Rfam family "Bacterial small subunit ribosomal RNA", at positions 524 to 769 of the family's 1533-position model. The record is from RNAcentral. Lineage: Bacteria; Bacillati; Bacillota.